RNAcentral lists this ribosomal RNA (408 nucleotides) under uncultured bacterium. RNAcentral describes it as "bacterial SSU rRNA". It matches the Rfam family "Bacterial small subunit ribosomal RNA", at positions 509 to 916 of the family's 1533-position model. The record is from RNAcentral.
CAGCAGCCGCGGUAAUACAGAGGGUGCAAACGUUGUUCGGAAUUACUGGGCGUAAAGCGAGUGUAGGCGGUUUGGUAAGUCGGAUGUGAAAUCCCCGGGCUCAACCUGGGAAUGGCAUUCGAUACUGGCCGACUAGAGUACGAGAGAGGGAGGUAGAAUUCCACGUGUAGCGGUGAAAUGCGUAGAUAUGUGGAGGAAUACCGGUGGCGAAGGCGGCCUCCUGGCUCGAUACUGACGCUCAGGUGCGAAAGCGUGGGUAGCAAACAGGAUUAGAUACCCUGGUAGUCCACGCCGUAAACGAUGUCUACUAGCCGUUGGGAGACUUGAUUUCUUAGUGGCGCAGCUAACGCUCUAAGUAGACCGCCUGGGGUGUACGGCCGCUUGGUUAAAACUUAAAGGAAUUGACGG